AUUGAACGCUGGCGGAAUGCUUUACACAUGCAAGUCGAACGGCAGCACGGGGCAACCUGGUGGCGAGUGGCGAACGGGUGAGUAAUAUAUCGGAACGUGCCCAAUCGUGGGGGGAUAACGUAGCGAAAGUUACGCUAAUACCGCAUACGAUCUACGGAUGAAAGCGGGGGAUCGCAAGACCUCGCGCGAAUGGAGCGGCCGAUAUCAGAUUAGGUAGUUGGUGGGGUAAAGGCUCACCAAGCCAACGAUCUGUAGCUGGUCUGAGAGGACGACCAGCCACACUGGAACUGAGACACGGUCCAGACUCCUACGGGAGGCAGCAGUGGGGAAUUUUGGACAAUGGCGCAAGCCUGAUCCAGCCAUUCCGCGUGCAGGAUGAA
Molecule: ribosomal RNA, 380 nt
Filed under: uncultured bacterium
Lineage: Bacteria
Description: bacterial SSU rRNA
Rfam family: Bacterial small subunit ribosomal RNA
Source: RNAcentral